CCCGCACAAGCGGUGGAGCAUGCGGUUUAAUUCGACGCAACGCGAAGAACCUUACCAGGGCUUGACAUCUACAGAAUCCUGAGGAAACUCAGGAGUGCCCUUCGGGGAACUGUAAGACAGGUGGUGCAUGGUUGUCGUCAGCUCGUGUCGUGAGAUGUUGGGUUAAGUCCCCGCAACGAGCGCAACCCCUAUGUUUAGUUGCUAGCGAGUAAGGUCGAGCACUCUAGACAGACUGCCGGUGAUAAACCGGAGGAAGGUGGGAUGACGUCAAAUCAUCAUGCCCCUUAUGUUCUGGGCUACACACGUGCUACAAUGGCCGGUACAAACGGAAGCGAAGCCGCGAGGUGAAGCAAAUCUGAUAAAACCGGUCUCAGUUCGGAUUGCAGGCUGCAACUCGCCUGCAUGAAGUCGGAAUCGCUAGUAAUCGCAGGUCAGCAUACUGCGGUGAAUACGUUCCCGGGCCUU
This 465-nucleotide ribosomal RNA is filed under the name uncultured Desulfosporosinus sp. RNAcentral's name for it is "bacterial SSU rRNA". It matches the Rfam family "Bacterial small subunit ribosomal RNA", at positions 920 to 1382 of the family's 1533-position model. The record is from RNAcentral. Lineage: Bacteria; Bacillati; Bacillota; Clostridia; Eubacteriales; Desulfitobacteriaceae.